Betta splendens (Siamese fighting fish) is the source of this 3903-nucleotide long non-coding RNA. RefSeq lists it as uncharacterized. The record is from RefSeq and is a predicted model, not a curated record. The transcript has 2 exons. Lineage: Eukaryota; Metazoa; Chordata; Actinopteri; Anabantiformes; Osphronemidae.
AAUCUUUUUUUAUUAGUUUUUAAAUGCAUAUUUUCCGCUUUUCCAUGUAAACCGUUCUAAUAACAGUAUUAUUAUUGGUGUUACACCACGAUUUAGAUACGAAAUAGAUAAGUUAAAAUGUUCUAGGAGACAUUUUAUCCCUUCAACUACUAAAAGUAGUUUUUUUACAUGAAGUCUGGUGUUCCAUUGUAAAUCUUGUUUUAUUGAACGGUUUGUUUAGUGUUGCUGUGUUUAUACGUAAUAUCAAUGCUAGUUUCACAUUAUGAAUUACUGUAGUUAAUAAAGGUUCAGGUUCUGCGUGUACUUCAUUCUCCACUAUUUAAUAGAAAAUAGUUUCCAAAGCUACCUUUUCUUAGCAUUAGAGCCUCAGUUACAGACGGAAAAUGUUAAUAUGUAAAUUUAUUUAAGCAGAAUUUGGAAACGGUGAUGUUUUACUCUUCUGGGUGCGGUGGGAGCCUGAGGAUGUUCUCAGACUGGGUGUGGUCUCUGUUAAUGUAGAAUAUUUACAGAGGCAGGGAAUUAAACAAGUAAAGUAGAAACUUGCAAAAUUUAAAUAAAUAUAUGUGUUAACGUAACACAACUGCAGGUUUAUAUGACCUGAGGUUAUCUGACUGCCCGUGAACAGAAAGACGUUAGAGAUGUAAAACGUGUCUGUGUGUCCAAAUCUGCUCGAUGAGCUGCUCCGUACUUUUAAUUUAAAACCAACAUCGCCGUGAAAGUAGUAAACUGGCUGGAAAUAGUCUGUUGGCGAUGAAUCUGUGAGCCCAGGUGCAGUAAACUGUUAACUGGCCAAACCCUGGCUAACUGCUUGGAACGUUGGCUAACCAAAAGUCAGCCUAGCUAAAGGCUAAAGCUAAAUGUAAUGAAUAGUUGAAUGUUGAACUUCAGCUGGCUAAAAUUCACAUAAACGGUUGAGUUGUCAAUUAAACAUUUGGAAACAAAUAUUGGCUAAAAUAUUAAAGACACUGUUAACGGUAGCGUUUAGCUUUAGAAAAAAAACACUUUAAAUCGUUAGCUAACGGCUGUUUUUUUAGCUUAAAGCUAUAGGGGGUCUGUAAAAUGUUAGCUAAACGCGCUGAUUAACGGUCACGUGGUUGUUCAGAGCUUUGAGCCGCAUGUUCAGUAGUUAGCCUCACACCAGCACAGCGUGGAUAAAGGCUGCACAGAAGUGACUAGUCAAUUUACCCUGCGCCCAUCCCAGGAUUUAUCCUCCCACCAUCAUCAGGUUGAAGCCUGUUAUUUGGGCUGCGUCAGGCCUCAACCUGCCGGCAGUUGCAUGACAAAUUCCACACGCUGUACACAUCCAUGUUCUGCCCGAGUCCCAAAUUCCACCUCUGCAGGGCAUCUGGGGCAGCGAGGCCUGUUGUUGCACUGUGUGAGGAUGUUUCGGGAUGUUACUGUCCAGGUGUGUGACUUCUGUAGAGAUCUGAUGGUUUCAGGUCAACAUGUUCCGGCCUACUGAAGUUUCCCUAAGCAUCAGGUAGCAAAAAUGACACGGCGGCUCAGUUUGGCCGCCAGCUGCUUUCACAUCCAGAUGUGGAGUUGGAAGCAGACGUCGGUCUGGACCUGGGGAAAAAUAAGUAAAUAUAUGUAGCUUUGCUUGAGCAUAAUUAUCAUCAGGGUGUGAGACUUUAUUAAGAAAAAUGUUAAAAAUGCUAAAGGUUGCAGUGAUUCAGACACCAAUUGUGCCAACACAGUUUGUUGCACUGUCAUUUGUACAACAUGAAUACAAUUUGCUUUAUUAGCCCUUCCUGGAACAGGUUUGUCUCAUUUGAAUUCACCGAGGCACAGUGGUUGACCAUCAUCCUCAAAGAUAUUGACUUAAUUUGCUUCAAAUCCAUGCACAACCCAACAACAUUUGCACAACACAACAGAGGUGUGUUCUAUGUGGCUCUAUGACUUGAAGGCACCUUCUGUUAGCUCGUUUACGUUGCCAUCUAGCUGCAUGGAAGUCAUAUUUCACCUUUUUUUAGUUGCAUCUGGUAACACGUAGUUAUGCUCAUGUUGAGUUACUAAUGUAAUGUUAUGAGUAAAAACACCAUUUUCUGGAACAUUUAUUUUUCCUCUUGUGAUCUGGCGCCCUGUGGUGUUAAACGAGGGUUAUUUCCGUUUCCCAAAGCAGACACCAAAUCAUGGUGUAAUUGUUGUGAAUUAAACCUUUGACCUUUUCCUUUAAGGCAUUUUAACAUGUUCCGUAUUUAAGAAUUGCUGCUUUAAGUGUUCUUUUAUUCUCUGAUUUGAGGUAAUAAUUGUAGAAUAUUUGAGGCUGAAGCUCUGAUCUGUAGGUUUUGUGACUGACAGCUAGGGGGCAGUAGAUGGCUGAGAAAGCGGAGUAGUUCUAACUAUAUAACUCGGGGGUCUAACCCCGGUCCUCCAGUGCCACAGUCCUGCUGCUUUUCCAACUCUCCCUGUCCCAGCUAAUACUGAUCACCUUGAAUAGGUGUGUUUAUCCAAUCAGCAGCUAACUGACACACCUGAUGAAGGUAACCAGGAGGGAGAGUUGGAAAACGAGCAGGACAGUAGCUGUCAAGGACGGGGGUAGGACACCCCUGAUCUACCUCAGAUCAUCAUAUCUAACUGUUGUUUGCAGAGGUGCUCUUUGUCAUACAAAUGUAAUGGUUGUUGAACGCAGCAUCACUCUCACAUGACCUUUGCCGGCAGGAGUGCCUCCAGGUUCUUCCCUGAAGCCAUUCUUUAAAGAAAUCUGCUGAAAACAUGCCACAGUCAGCAGGGGUUACAACAGAAGCAUCUUGAGAUUUCCUGUUACACCCCUUUGUUCACUGUUUUCAAGUAUCUAAAACUCCAGAACUGUGCACAGAUGGUUAUAAACCACCUGAGAGAAACCCUUGCCUCUCAGUAGACAAAUGUUAAGGUUCUUUUCUAUCUUUUGUCUUUUGGUCGUGGUUUCAUGCCUGUUUUAUAGUUCAUGGCUACAGUGAAUCAGUGAUCAGUUGACACAGUCCUCAUACAUGUUAAUCAGUUGUGUAACUUUGGCUGUUUUCUGUCUGUUAGUAGCUCUCUCACUUUCUGGUCAUUUAUGAUGUAGUUGUUGUUAAUCAGGAUGAGUCAGCAGCAGAAUGUAGAAGACGGGCAGUCUGAUGCUGGCAGGCGGUAAAAGGUGUUGGACAACAAGGCAGUUCAGUUUCAUCAAGUGUCUGUACUGUCACACAAAGAUGUAAUACUUGGAUUGUGCUCUAGAAUAAAUGUUACUUGUAUAAGUGAGAUCUCAUGAGAAGAAAUAGAAAAGCCCAUAAUGAUUGUCACAUAAUUGUCAGCUGAGUUUGAGCUUGGGUGUGCCCGAAACCUGUGGAACAAGGUGUGGGCUUGUUUGCAUGUAAAGGUUUGAGUGUUCUUAAAGCUCUGUAAUAAAUGAAGUUGUUGUCCCUAAUUAUCCUUAAUUGAAAUAACCUGUCAGACAAGGGGAUAAAAAUGUAGCGCAGCUGUGCAAAGUUUGGCUUUGUAAAAUACAAAAUAAGCCAGUUAUACGUCACAAUGACUUUAAAACUAUUUUCUGUGUUUAAGUGACGUCUGACGUAAUGGACACUUAUUUCAUGAUUCAGUUCGCAGCUAAAGCUCAGGAGCUACUUAGGUGGAAAAAAACAGAGUGCUGAGUCAACACAGCAAACAGUCUGGUAAAAAAAAAAGAUCCUUUCUCUGAAACAAUGGAGUUAAAUAUUUAAUCAACUAUCAAUGUAGCUCUAUAUGUUUACUGACAGCAUGCAGCUCUGCUCCACUCUCUAAUCCUUGGGACUGUGGUUGUUUUUUGAAUACUGCUCUGAUUAAAGUGAACGUGGAGCUAAUGGGGCGACUUGCUCUUAUUUUGAUCUAGUUAAAUACUGUUACUGUUAUGUCACACUUUGAUUAGCGAGUUGUUGUUACUAAUUGUGUAGUGAGCCCAUGGUU